This is a non-coding RNA of Paramisgurnus dabryanus, 1494 nucleotides long. Lineage: Eukaryota; Metazoa; Chordata; Actinopteri; Cypriniformes; Cobitidae. The record is from RefSeq and is a predicted model, not a curated record.
UGAGUCAAGAAAUGCUGCAUAUUUCAACUACAACUUUAAUGCUGUUUGGCACAGGUUUUUUCACUGUUUUGUGUCCAGCGGUCAGUAUAGAGGUUCUGCAAGGAGAAAAUGUUGCAAUAUGGUGUGAACACAACAUCCAUGUUACUGGAGACCUGUGCUGGUUCAAGCAAACAGCUUAUGCUGUUCCAAUAACAACUGUGUGCAUGAUAUACACAGAGAGUCGUCGUCAAAAUGUGGAGCCACGAUAUUUUGCCAAUUUUACAAUGAAUCAGAUGAUCAUGGAUCUGUACCUUAAAUCCACCUCUUUAACAAUACUGGAUGUGAAUGUUUCUGAUGCUGGCCUCUACUUUUGUGGAGCUAUGGGAUAUAAAAUGAAAUUCGGCAAUGGAACCAGACUUAAAGUGAAAGAUAAGAAUGAUAUGUCAAGAAAAAAUGACACAGAAACCUUAAAAAAUGAUCAUAAUCAAUCAUCUGUGACUGCUGAGGAUUGUUCUGGAAACAUCUUUUUUAUCCUGACAUUCAUAUUUGGUGGAUUUAUUAUUUUUACUUUCAAUAUUCUAAUCAUUUUUGGUAUUAUUAGAAAACACAAAAGACAGAAACAGAGAAAAGGUAAACUAUUUUUUCAAAGGGUUAAACAGAUUAAAUGAAUUACAAAUAAAGAAUGAAAACUUCAGUAAAUAAAUACUGAAUAAAAAGUAAAAUAGUGAGUAAACUUGCUUUGGAAAAGACAACUGAUUUAUCUCAAAAUCAAAGCAAUUUUUCUGCUUUGUGCCGCAGCUGCUGAACACCAAGCACAACAGCACGAUUACAAGGAGCAGGAACCUGAGUCAGUGGAGUAUUCUGCUGUACAUUUCUCCAGAAGAGAAAGACAAACUGAUACAGUAGUUAUGUAUGAGAUGUAUACUGAUGCCACAUAACUUACAUAUUCAAAGUUUUGUUCAUAAUAUAUUUCAUAAAUAACACUUCAAUGUACUGAUAAUAGUACUGAUAGUCAUGUGUAGGUUUUGAUACUCUGUUUUGAUAAUUCUGGUAACAACCAUACCAUAACGACAAAGAUACAUUGAUAUGAUUGAAAGAGUUUUUUAUAUUCUAAAUAUGUUUAUAGUAUGUAAAUAUAUUGUGUUGAUGGUUCCUUGUUUUUAAACAAUAAUCUUAUUAAACUUAUACACUGUGUAUAAAUUGAAAGCUGCUCUACUUAAACAUUUUUUUUUACAAUUGGUAACACUCAAUUUAAGUGAAACAUUUAGGAUAAAAAAGUUUUUUAAGAAUAUUUUAGGAACUUCUUAAGUUUUUCACUUAAACUGAGAAAAGUUGAUACAACUUUUACUUUUUUACAGUGUUUGCACAAAUUUUAACAAUGAAAAUUAAGUUGCUAUGCUUAAACAGUUUUCACACUACACUCUUAAAAAUUAAACUUCCUAAACGCUUCCAAGCUUUGUUGUUUGGUUUCAUAAAAAACUUUUCACACACAGAGAAGCUUUCUGUUGCAUUAAA